Oncorhynchus mykiss (rainbow trout) is the source of this 2218-nucleotide long non-coding RNA. RefSeq lists it as uncharacterized. Lineage: Eukaryota; Metazoa; Chordata; Actinopteri; Salmoniformes; Salmonidae. The record is from RefSeq and is a predicted model, not a curated record.
AAACAUGGGACCAACACUUUACAUGUUGUGUUUGUAUUUUUAUUCAGUAUAGAUGACUGGACUACAGAGUGGGAGACAAAUCUCUACACUCUUGAUGACUCUAUUCAUAUCAAGGCGUCUGUAACUGGCCAAGCCACCAAUGAGUUGCCAUGCCAACUGCAAACAAUCCCAUUCAAUACCCCUUCAUUUCUGGCCACGGGUAAAGUCAUAGGAAGCACCCACGUACAUCUUUUCCAUCAAUCUCAAUUUCUUCCUCUUUCCUUGCCAUGAUUUAAUUUAUUUUUCUUUGUGAUGUGGACUGGUUUCUCUCCAGUUGCUUUGUAGAUGGCAAAAUGCAUGUCUCUCUGUCUGACUUCAGCUUCACUAGAGAGGACAGCAGAACUGCAAAUUCUUCUGGAUGCCUUCCGCUUUCAAACAUGGACAUAUCAAAAGUUUAUAUUAGCUGUACCUUGAGAGCAGCUUUUGCAUCUAGCCCUAUAACUGCUGUCAACAAAGCCUACACAUAUAACUCGUCUAUAUCCAGAUACCAGAAGCCUCAUGCUGGGACCUGCAAUCAUAAGAGCCACAGUUCAAGGCUCUGAGACCGUAGACAGACGCACAAUGGAGCAGUGUAAGUACAGUGCACCGAGGGGCUUUUCUGUCCAUGUGUUCAAAGUCAGGUUUAUAUAAUGGCUUGGUUUUUCCCAGUAAGCAUGGUUGUGAACGUAUCUAUUGAGUUUCUCCAGUGAUUUGGCUAUUUUGUUAGACUGGUUUAACAUGCUUUAGUCUUUCAUUACACCUGUCAUAGCGGACAUAUUAAUUGACCCAUCAUGCAUUCCUUUAUUGCAAUGGUUUAUAACGGCAACAUGUUUGUCAUUUCUGCAAGAAUCUGUGAAAGUGGUGUUUAAUAAAUCAAAGGCAGCAGUCUGGCAUGGUUGAUCUCAUCUCUCAUGGCUAUUGUGGCCACAGCAUUACUGUGCAGCUUGCUGCUUUUGAGCAACAGAAAGAGCCUUCUAAACUGCACAGAAGUAAAAAGUAUUAUUUUAACAAGUCCCUGCACCCAAAACUUUCGUAAUGUGUUUAUCUUGAGAAAACAAACCAUCAUUAUUAAGAAAUGUGCAUACUACUUUAAUAUUUACACAAAUGUGUCUCAAAGGAGAAAAGGCAGUUUAUCAUAAUGACUUAAUUGAAUUAAAGUUUUUUAAUCCACCAAAAAACACUAAUUCACGGUGUUAAAUAACACUAUGUGAGAACAAUAUUUUUUUGUGAACAAACGUUUAAUUUUGACGUUAUAUAGUUGGUAGCAACAAAGUCGACUACGAAAUCCACAAUGCAACGCUCUAUGGGCUAGCUAGCAAACGUAGCUACGCAAAAUAAUACCAAAGACAAUAUCAGCAUGUAACGUAGCUCUAGUUAACUGUAAAAUCGUCUAAAAACUACACUAUCAAUUUAAGAGUCUAAGAUCUCACCAUGUUCAACCUGCAGAUCGAUGUGCCUCACAGAAUGGAGUAUAACAUUCGCAACGGCAGAUAUACUUUUGAGAUGGGGAAACGCGGACCAAGCUACACAUUCUGGGCAAUUCUGUGACAAGACGCGCUCUCAUUGAAGGAGUGAAUGGGAGUCUAUUGGGCACUAGCUAAAAAAAAAUCUUAUAUAAAUUCGUGCUAAUGUAUAUUUGGCAACAGCACCAUGCAAUGCACCCUGGACUAGAGGCAAAUAGGAACAAUAUGCUAGACCAUUCGUCAAAUUACAAAUUUCUCGAGGUAGAAAUAUCGCAAAAAUGAGCCAUCACUCAUUCGAAAGAAGACAUCCUCCCGAGUUGACGUCGGCCAGUAUUACAGUCUGACAUGUAUGAGCGACAUUUUCGCGAUCUAAAAGUUGGAUUCUUAUUAAUUUCCAGUGUAGUGAGGGACUUUACCACAGUGCUACGUAAUACCGGCCACGUCUGCCUGCUUGAACGCCAAUAACUCGGAUACACAUGAAAAGACCCAGGGAAUCGAUAGAACACCACUCAGAUGCACCCCCAAAAAAUAUAACAUUCAAAAUGGGCGAACCUUUCCUUUAAAUCACACAUUUGGGGCCAGGAAAUGAACAUGAGCUGGUUUCCCAGACCCACAUUGAGCCUACUUGAAAAUAAAUACAGUAACGUUAGAUUUAACAGGAAUGUCCGCAUUACCAGACCCAGAUUAUUUUCCUUUGAGCCGCAAUCAUUCCGCACACAUUUUGGAAUGGUCAGAGA